UACGGAGGGUGCAAGCGUUAUCCGGAUUCACUGGGUUUAAAGGGUGCGUAGGUGGGCAGGUAAGUCAGUGGUGAAAUCUCCGGGCUUAACUCGGAAACUGCCAUUGAUACUAUCUUUCUUGAAUACCGUGGAGGUCAGCGGAAUAUGUCAUGUAGCGGUGAAAUGCUUAGAUAUGACAUAGAACACCAAUUGCGAAGGCGGCUGGCUACACGAAUAUUGACACUGAUGCGCGAAAGCGUGGGGAUCAAACAGG
RNAcentral lists this ribosomal RNA (253 nucleotides) under uncultured bacterium. RNAcentral's name for it is "partial 16S ribosomal RNA". It matches the Rfam family "Bacterial small subunit ribosomal RNA", at positions 524 to 776 of the family's 1533-position model. The record is from RNAcentral.